AUACUUACCUGGCAUCGGGGUUACCGUGAUCACUAAGGCGGUUCCCCCAGGGCGAGGCCUUCCACUGCACUACGGCUUGGCUGACCUCUGCGAAUAUCCCAAAUGCGGAUAUCUCGGGCGCAACUUAAUUUUUGGUAGUCGGGACUGCGUACGCGCUCUCCCGG
Small nuclear RNA from Cimex lectularius (bed bug), 164 nucleotides. RefSeq annotates it as U1 spliceosomal RNA. The transcript has a single exon. The record is from RefSeq and is a predicted model, not a curated record. Lineage: Eukaryota; Metazoa; Arthropoda; Insecta; Hemiptera; Cimicidae.